Molecule: ribosomal RNA, 253 nt
Filed under: uncultured bacterium
Lineage: Bacteria
Description: partial 16S ribosomal RNA
Rfam family: Bacterial small subunit ribosomal RNA
Source: RNAcentral
UACGGAGGGUGCAAGCGUUGUCCGGAUUUAUUGGGUUUAAAGGGUGCGUAGGUGGCUUUUUAAGUCAGUGGUGAAAGCCUGCAGCUUAACUGUAGGACUGCCAUUGAUACUGAGGAGCUUGAGUACUGAUGAGGUAGGCGGAAUUGAUAGUGUAGCGGUGAAAUGCAUAGAUAUUAUCAAGAACACCGAUUGCGAAGGCAGCUUACUAAGGAGUUACUGACACUGAGGUGCGAAAGCGUGGGGAGCAAACAGG